RNAcentral lists this long non-coding RNA (216 nucleotides) under Lathyrus oleraceus (garden pea). Its description in RNAcentral is "Pisum sativum (pea) long non-coding RNA (PSAT_LNC001430)". Lineage: Eukaryota; Viridiplantae; Streptophyta; Magnoliopsida; Fabales; Fabaceae. The record is from RNAcentral.
CUACAAACGCUUACUCGGUUCAUUAAAAAUAUUGACCGAUGUAUUAUUAGUUUGUAAGUGGUAAAUAAUCUUCUCAAUAUUACAUAUGAGCUAAACAAUUUACAUAUAUUUUUCUCAAAAUAAAGAAAAAUCAUAUCACGUUUGUUUUCAAGAAAUCAUGUAUCCCUCUCUUCAAAAAUAAAACAAUUAACCUCUAUAAUUCUUUUUUAUAUCAUU